Molecule: long non-coding RNA, 2413 nt
Filed under: Helianthus annuus (common sunflower)
Lineage: Eukaryota; Viridiplantae; Streptophyta; Magnoliopsida; Asterales; Asteraceae
Description: hypothetical non coding rna
Source: RNAcentral
UUUGAUCUGAUUUUCAUUCUCUAAGUUGAAGUCUUGCACUUCAUACCUGAGAAUAAAUUGGAUCAAACCUCCUUGGACCUUUUGUAAGUCCUCUUUCGUUCUUUUAUGCAUUUUUAGCAUGAAAGUCAAACUUUGUUUGACUUUCUGUUUUGACCAGUUUAUGGUUAACAUGAAGUUCGUUUGAACUUCAUAACGUGAGCAUAAUCACGAUGGUUUUAGUCUCUAGUGACUAUACCUACUGAUUACCACGUUAUCUAGGUGUAGUGACGAGUCGUAGUUUCGGCCAAAAUGCGUAUUCUUGCGUAUUUUGUAACCAAACUACUUUUAGGUAUCAAAACCGUUUGUUUUGAUACCAAACUUGUUUUCUAACUUCGUUAAACAUGUUUUAACAUGUUUAGCUCGUCACUUUAGGUUUAGUGCUUAUGUAGAGUCGUAAGUCAAGCUGUCUAAACAACCGCUUAGACUUUCAAACUAGACCCGUUUGGUCGAUCAUUAGGAUCCGACCAAACAUGUUUAGCGACUAUAGUCGUAUAGGGAAUAACCUUCCGAGGUUAUACCUUAUGGUCACUUCGUUUAAGUAGUUGUAUGAUAGGUAGUUUAUAUGCCUUAGGAAAAUGACCAAAAUGCCUUUUUUGUGCAUAAUUGAUAUUUAAGCAUAUGUAACCCAAACUUUUGUCACUUAACUGAUUAUGCAACAUAAUUAAACAUGUUUAGGCAUAUAAUACUUGUCAUAGGACUAGUUAGGCAGUCCGAACGCGUUUUACGUGAACGACACGUUAAAGUAGCGCAAGCUACCUAAACGGGUCGUAAUGGGUCGUAAGCACUUAGGUUAGGCUUCAUUUUAGUAUGUAGGCUUUGUUCAACCAUAUCAUAUGAGUCCCCACACUCAUUUGGUAUACGAGACCUCAUCCUAUCCGAUCUUCCAAUAUAGGUCCGGUUUAUUUAUGUAGUUACCUAUAUUAGGUGCCGUUUGAUUCUGUGCUCCAUCUAGCUUGCUUGGUAGUUGUUCAAGACUUCUAAGCACCCUCAAGUGAGUACAUAGUCCCCUAUUUUACUGUUUUCAAAUGUUUUGGGGUGAAAUAUGUGUACCUAUUUGUUAUGUUCAUGAUUUCAAAGUAUAAUUUAUUAUACGUAUUAGUACUUAUCUUUUAACAAACUGAAUGAUUAUUUAUGGUUUAAACACAAAUUUUUCCAUAGAUUAUAAAAUUAAAUUGUUGGAUAGUACUUAUUUUAAGUUCACCAGACCAGUUGGUAGUAUGAUAUAGCGCUAUAGGAUUUGACACCCCAUUUCUGUUGUCAUGGAAUGUCUGAAACCAAUUUAUUUUUAUCCAAAUAGGGAUUGCCUUUGUGGUAUUACUAUAGUCUCAAAGUUAUACUCCCAGAAGUAUAGUUUGAUAUGCUCUCAUAUGUGAUAUUGUACAAAACCAACAUAUAUUUAUAAAACCAAAACAUAUUUUAAUAUGUUAUUUAUAAAACCAAAACCUAGUUUAAUAUGUUACUUAUAAAACUAAAACAUAGUUUAAUAUGUUAUUUAUAUAACUAAAACAUAGUUUAAUAUGUUAUUUAUAAAACCAAAACAUAGUUUAAUAUGUUAUUUAUAAAACCAAAACAUACUUUAAUAUGUUCUUUAUAAAACCAAAACAUAUUUUGAUAUGUUAUUUAUAAAACCAAAACAUAAUUUAAUAUGUUAUUAAUAAAACCAAAGUAUACUUUUGAUAUACUACUGAAAAUUUAUUAUUUUACCGACUAAAGUAUAUAUAUUUAAUAUACUAUUUGUUUAACGAUGGGUUUUUGGUUAGUGUUUAGAUAACGGGACGGGUGUAUUGUGAUGAAAACAUGGUAGAUACGCCGCUGGUACUUCUUAUAUAUAAGUGUUUUCAUCACAUUACAUACCGUGACGUUAUUUAGUACACUUGGGUAAGCGAUUUUGAAACUGAAAUAUAUUUUGAUAUAUUACUUAUUCGAUUUUCUUAGAACCAAAGUAUAUUUUUAUAUAUACUAUAAACCUUUUUAUCAAAAUAUUGUUUUAUAAACAAUAUAUUUUAUACAAAUUCAUUUUAUUUAGUUAUUUAAUUACCUAUGUAUUAUUAUUUUAUAUCAUCUGAUUUCUUAUAAAUUCUAGUAUGAUUUAUAAAAGAAAAUAUUUUAAGGUUCAUGACCGUUUUUGAUAAAAAAAUUAUUUUAAACCUAUAAGUCAUGAAUCCUAAUUAUAACAAAACCUAUGUAUCUCACAGGCAUUUUUAUGCUGACGUACCUAUUUUUACACAUGUUUCAGGUCCUGCUUUGUGAUGAUUGUUGAUACAUGCUACACUUAGGAUUGACUCGUGCCUUAGCGACUUUAAAACUUGAGAGAUAAUAUUUGUAUUAAUCUGUUUUGUAAUAGAACAAAGAGUUCAAUGAUUCAUUAAAACGA